Molecule: long non-coding RNA, 804 nt
Filed under: Heterocephalus glaber (naked mole-rat)
Lineage: Eukaryota; Metazoa; Chordata; Mammalia; Rodentia; Bathyergidae
Description: lncRNA (ENSHGLG00000037054.1)
Source: RNAcentral
CUGCUCUGGAAGAAAGACACACCACUGUCACAGAUGUAUGGGGACAGAUUAAGCUCCAGAUGGAAUACUGUCGGUGUCAAUCAGUCACUGUUCUUGCAGCCUGGCCGGCUUUCAUCAAAGUAACCACAGAGGAGGAUUCUGCAACUCACAACCUCUUAAAGCUUUGUAUGGACCGGAGGUGAAGCUCUCCUGUCAUCCUCAGCAUUCCCCUCCAAACGCUUGUUUAUGUCCCACCCCUGCUAAUUCAUACAUAGUAUCUUUUUAUUGUAUUCAUCCUUAAGUGUCUCUUCCAUUUCCAAGUGACUGUUCAAUAUUCCGCAGAAUGUUCCAGCUCUUCAGUGAGCUAUACAUUAUUGUGACAUCAGUUGUCCCAUAAAGUGACAAAAUCUGGAUCAAAUACAGGUCUUAUUGUCAGAAGAGAGGAGAUAAGAUGAAGAAUUGAUCUACAAGUUUCAGCCAGUUUGUUUUAUGUUCCCAUUAUGACACACGUUUGGUUCAUGGCCAGUGACUCUGUGCCUCACUUUCAGACUGAUUGGAUACCACGCAGGCACAGGAAAAGAACAUGUGAAGGAUCCUAUCAGCCUAAAGAAUCACUGUCAGGUGAAGAGUCUAUAAACAUUUCCCAACGUUCAUGGAAAGUUUGAGUCUUCACAGCACCAUCCCAGGACUGUACAGAACGCACCUCACUACUGUGCUUGUAAUUGACAAAAGGGUGACAAAAUUUACCAGACCUGCCCCCAACGGCUGAGCAAUGCCCUGAAGGCACUACUUCUCACCCAAGCCCAUGCAUAGGCUGAGAGGUCU